CCCAAGUCCCAAAACCUAAACUACCCCUGUUGAAGCGCCCCCCCAUAACAACUUCAGAUGUCCUAUGCACAAAAUUUUCUCUCUCCCUCCGGACGACAGAAAUUUCCUCCUUGGGGGGAGUGUGGAUAUUUGCUGCAACAACCCAAUGGGGCAUAUUGGCAUAUAUUCAGUUAUUUUACUGUAUUGUUAAUUGUUCUUCUCAACGGAACAGCAGUAAACGUGAUUAUAGAAAAGCAAUUUCGUGGCACCCUCCUGGGAAAUAGAUUUUCUGCAGUUCAAAUUUCAUUGAACCAUAGAUGCUUAAUUACCACAAAAAGUUCCCAAGGAAAAAACGUGCCCAACACCGAGAAAAUGGGUGAUCAGUGAUUAUCCUCUAUUAAAUUGUAUUACAGCAAGAAAAUGUAAAAUUUUGUAUUCAAUUACAACAAAAAUGACUUGCAUUAUCAGAAAGCUUACAAAAACCUACAUAUAAGACAUUUAAACAGAGUUUUUUAUAUCUAUAAUUGUUUUCGAGUUAUACGCUUUUCAAAACACGUUUUUGACCUAGUACCCAGGCCUUAUUGCGACAUUUUGGUCCAAUUUUCACAUUUGAAACAGCAAUAACUCAAAUACUGAUAUUUUCUGUGUUGGUGCAAUGUACUCAGGUGAAUAAGAUGCUUGUGAUGUUACUCUGAGUGUAUAUCCACACCGGGCAAGCUUGAAAAAUAUGCCUGACCACGGUGGAAAUCGAACCUACGAAAAUAUCAUUACGAAAAUAUCAUUAUUACUAGAUUAAAUUGAUAUCGAAGGAACUAGAUUCUGUUCCGAAAUAUCACAUGCUCGAACCGACCAGACCGCGUAGCUCAGUUGGUAGAGCAUUGCCAUUGGGCUAGUAUUCCAAAGGUCGUAGGUUCGAUUUCCACCGUGGUCAGGCAUAUUUUUCAAGCUUGCCCGGUGUGGAUAUACACUCAGAGUAACAUCACAAGCAUCCAACUCAAAUACUAUUUGAAAAAUGAAAAAACUGUUUAAAAGUCUUAUAUGCGGUUUUUUGUACGUUUUCCGAUGAUGCAAGUCAUUUUUAUUGUAAUUGAAUACAGAAUUUCCCAUUUUUUUGCUGUAAUACAAUUUAAUAGAGGAUAAUCAUUGAUCACCCAUUUUCUCGGGAUUGGGCAACUUUUUUGCUUGGGAACUUUUUUUGGUAGUGAUGUACCUAUAUGCCUUUCAAAUAAACCCCAAACCAAGUAUUUCCCACAUGGGUGCCACGAAGCGAAAUAAUUUUGGCCAACAGCCCACGGCCUACUGGCAAAUUUAAAACUCAAGGUGUACUUAGACUGUUGAGUGAAGUACAUAAAUUACAGAUUUCUGCAAGGUAUUUAUUCAGUAACCUGAAACUACCAGUUAGAAAAAGGAGCACAAUAGACCUUACCGAUUAUCCUCUUUUACCCCCAAUUGUCUUGUUUCCAUGUUAACUUAUUUUAGCAUGUCAGGGGCAGAUAAAGAUUAUAUCCCCAUGUUUUCCUGGACGAAUUUGUUUCUUGCUGUUCUUAGGCCCAAUAACAAAGUAAUUUUCAACCCUACUAAGCACAAAACAUGAGUAAGUAUUUGACAUGAAAACGAGGCCAUUGGGUAAGAGAGAAUAAUCGGUAAGGUCUAUUGUACAAACACUACAAUCGACUCUAACAUCAAUUCGUCUCAUCAGUCCAAUCAGAUUUCAUGUACCUUGGGUUUGGAAAUGUCAAAUGGUACCAGCAAAGUGAGAGUAUCGCGUACCUAUACGGCUACGUGGUACUUAGCUGAAAAUAAAGAAGCACUAGACCGUAAUAUUGGCGUACCUCCGGUACGUAAGUACACGAUUUAUUGCACCCUGUCCAUUAGUAUACAUGAAUUGAAACAAUUUUGGCAGCUAUGCCUAUAUGUAAAACGACUAUUAAUUUACAACAUAGCAAUAUUUUAUGCUGUUUAAUGGUAAUUUUAGCAUAUUUGUUUUUUAAAUACAUGUUUUUUAAAUACAU
This 1991-nucleotide transfer RNA is filed under the name Paramuricea clavata. The stretch from base 832 to 910 matches the Rfam family "tRNA". The record is from RNAcentral. Lineage: Eukaryota; Metazoa; Cnidaria; Anthozoa; Malacalcyonacea; Plexauridae.